This 292-nucleotide ribosomal RNA is filed under the name uncultured Methylobacterium sp. Its description in RNAcentral is "partial 16S ribosomal RNA". It matches the Rfam family "Bacterial small subunit ribosomal RNA", at positions 505 to 796 of the family's 1533-position model. The record is from RNAcentral. Lineage: Bacteria; Pseudomonadati; Pseudomonadota; Alphaproteobacteria; Hyphomicrobiales; Methylobacteriaceae.
GUGUCAGCCGCCGCGGUAAUACGAAGGGGGCUAGCGUUGCUCGGAAUCACUGGGCGUAAAGGGCGCGUAGGCGGCGUUUUAAGUCGGGGGUGAAAGCCUGUGGCUCAACCACAGAAUGGCCUUCGAUACUGGGACGCUUGAGUAUGGUAGAGGUUGGUGGAACUGCGAGUGUAGAGGUGAAAUUCGUAGAUAUUCGCAAGAACACCGGUGGCGAAGGCGGCCAACUGGACCAUUACUGACGCUGAGGCGCGAAAGCGUGGGGAGCAAACAGGAUUAGAAACCCUUGUAGUCC